Molecule: ribosomal RNA, 188 nt
Filed under: Clostridioides difficile
Lineage: Bacteria; Bacillati; Bacillota; Clostridia; Peptostreptococcales; Peptostreptococcaceae
Description: partial 16S ribosomal RNA
Rfam family: Bacterial small subunit ribosomal RNA
Source: RNAcentral
UUAUUUGAGAGUUUGAUCCUGGCUCAGGAUGAACGCUGGCGGCGUGCCUAACACAUGCAAGUUGAGCGAUUUACUUCGGUAAAGAGCGGCGGACGGGUGAGUAACGCGUGGGUAACCUACCCUGUACACACGGAUAACAUACCGAAAGGUAUGCUAAUACGUGAUAAUAUAUUUGAGAGGCAUCUCUU